Molecule: long non-coding RNA, 509 nt
Filed under: Homo sapiens (human)
Lineage: Eukaryota; Metazoa; Chordata; Mammalia; Primates; Hominidae
Description: HSALNT0343207
Source: RNAcentral
CUUAGGUGGUAAAGCUGGCUGUCUCGCCACUCACCUCCUGCUAUGCAGCCUGGUUCCUAGCAGGCUACUUACAAGUCCACACCCCUAUUAUAAAGUAUAAUUGAGCAGCAACAUCAUGGAAUCAUGGAACAAUACUUGACUUUCUAGGGGGAAGUGUGAAGGAGUGAAGAGGACAGAGAUGGGGUUUCACCAUGUUGUCCAGGCUGGUCUCGAACUCCUAAGCUGAAGCAACAUGCCUGCCUAGGCCUCCCGAAGUGCUGAGAUUACAAGAAUGAGCCACCACACCCAGCCAAGGAUUUUGACUCUUAUCCUAUGAAUAAUGAGAAGCUGCUGGAGUGUUUUAAACUAGCAAGAAAACUAACAAAGUUUGCAUGUUGGAAAAUGUGCUUGGCAAUAAGCAAAAGUAGAGAGGAUAUAAUGAUAGAAACGAAGAAGAGAGAACAGAAAAAAUGAAAGUGUUUUGAGAACAUGAUGAAUGUUACAUCAUAUAUGAUAAAACAUCCCACAGG